UAAGCGACUAAGCGUACACGGUGGAUGCCCUGGCAGUCAGAGGCGAUGAAGGACGUGCUAAUCUGCGAUAAGCGUCGGUAAGGUGAUAUGAACCGUUAUAACCGGCGAUUUCCGAAUGGGGAAACCCAGUGUGUUUCGACACACUAUCAUUAACUGAAUCCAUAGGUUAAUGAGGCGAACCGGGGGAACUGAAACAUCUAAGUACCCCGAGGAAAAGAAAUCAACCGAGAUUCCCCCAGUAGCGGCGAGCGAACGGGGAGCAGCCCAGAGCCUGAAUCAGUGUGUGUGUUAGUGGAAGCGUCUGGAAAGGCGCGCGAUACAGGGUGACAGCCCCGUACACAAAAAUGCACAUGCUGUGAGCUCGAUGAGUAGGGCGGGACACGUGGUAUCCUGUCUGAAUAUGGGGGGACCAUCCUCCAAGGCUAAAUACUCCUGACUGACCGAUAGUGAACCAGUACCGUGAGGGAAAGGCGAAAAGAACCCCGGCGAGGGGAGUGAAAAAGAACCUGAAACCGUGUACGUACAAGCAGUGGGAGCACAGAGCAAUCUGUGUGACUGCGUACCUUUUGUAUAAUGGGUCAGCGACUUAUAUUCUGUAGCAAGGUUAACCGAAUAGGGGAGCCGAAGGGAAACCGAGUCUUAACUGGGCGUUAAGUUGCAGGGUAUAGACCCGAAACCCGGUGAUCUAGCCAUGGGCAGGUUGAAGGUUGGGUAACACUAACUGGAGGACCGAACCGACUAAUGUUGAAAAAUUAGCGGAUGACUUGUGGCUGGGGGUGAAAGGCCAAUCAAACCGGGAGAUAGCUGGUUCUCCCCGAAAGCUAUUUAGGUAGCGCCUCGUGAAUUCAUCUCCGGGGGUAGAGCACUGUUUCGGCAAGGGGGUCAUCCCGACUUACCAACCCGAUGCAAACUGCGAAUACCGGAGAAUGUUAUCACGGGAGACACACGGCGGGUGCUAACGUCCGUCGUGAAGAGGGAAACAACCCAGACCGCCAGCUAAGGUCCCAAAGUCAUGGUUAAGUGGGAAACGAUGUGGGAAGGCCCAGACAGCCAGGAUGUUGGCUUAGAAGCAGCCAUCAUUUAAAGAAAGCGUAAUAGCUCACUGGUCGAGUCGGCCUGCGCGGAAGAUGUAACGGGGCUAAACCAUGCACCGAAGCUGCGGCAGCGACGCUUAUGCGUUGUUGGGUAGGGGAGCGUUCUGUAAGCCUGCGAAGGUGUGCUGUGAGGCAUGCUGGAGGUAUCAGAAGUGCGAAUGCUGACAUAAGUAACGAUAAAGCGGGUGAAAAGCCCGCUCGCCGGAAGACCAAGGGUUCCUGUCCAACGUUAAUCGGGGCAGGGUGAGUCGACCCCUAAGGCGAGGCCGAAAGGCGUAGUCGAUGGGAAACAGGUUAAUAUUCCUGUACUUGGUGUUACUGCGAAGGGGGGACGGAGAAGGCUAUGUUGGCCGGGCGACGGUUGUCCCGGUUUAAGCGUGUAGGCUGGUUUUCCAGGCAAAUCCGGAAAAUCAAGGCUGAGGCGUGAUGACGAGGCACUACGGUGCUGAAGCAACAAAUGCCCUGCUUCCAGGAAAAGCCUCUAAGCAUCAGGUAACAUCAAAUCGUACCCCAAACCGACACAGGUGGUCAGGUAGAGAAUACCAAGGCGCUUGAGAGAACUCGGGUGAAGGAACUAGGCAAAAUGGUGCCGUAACUUCGGGAGAAGGCACGCUGAUAUGUAGGUGAAGUCCCUCGCGGAUGGAGCUGAAAUCAGUCGAAGAUACCAGCUGGCUGCAACUGUUUAUUAAAAACACAGCACUGUGCAAACACGAAAGUGGACGUAUACGGUGUGACGCCUGCCCGGUGCCGGAAGGUUAAUUGAUGGGGUUAGCGCAAGCGAAGCUCUUGAUCGAAGCCCCGGUAAACGGCGGCCGUAACUAUAACGGUCCUAAGGUAGCGAAAUUCCUUGUCGGGUAAGUUCCGACCUGCACGAAUGGCGUAAUGAUGGCCAGGCUGUCUCCACCCGAGACUCAGUGAAAUUGAACUCGCUGUGAAGAUGCAGUGUACCCGCGGCAAGACGGAAAGACCCCGUGAACCUUUACUAUAGCUUGACACUGAACAUUGAGCCUUGAUGUGUAGGAUAGGUGGGAGGCUUUGAAGUGUGGACGCCAGUCUGCAUGGAGCCGACCUUGAAAUACCACCCUUUAAUGUUUGAUGUUCUAACGUGGACCCGUAAUCCGGGUUGCGGACAGUGUCUGGUGGGUAGUUUGACUGGGGCGGUCUCCUCCUAAAGAGUAACGGAGGAGCACGAAGGUUGGCUAAUCCUGGUCGGACAUCAGGAGGUUAGUGCAAUGGCAUAAGCCAGCUUGACUGCGAGCGUGACGGCGCGAGCAGGUGCGAAAGCAGGUCAUAGUGAUCCGGUGGUUCUGAAUGGAAGGGCCAUCGCUCAACGGAUAAAAGGUACUCCGGGGAUAACAGGCUGAUACCGCCCAAGAGUUCAUAUCGACGGCGGUGUUUGGCACCUCGAUGUCGGCUCAUCACAUCCUGGGGCUGAAGUAGGUCCCAAGGGUAUGGCUGUUCGCCAUUUAAAGUGGUACGCGAGCUGGGUUUAGAACGUCGUGAGACAGUUCGGUCCCUAUCUGCCGUGGGCGCUGGAGAAUUGAGGGGGGCUGUUCCUAGUACGAGAGGACCGGAGUGGACGCAUCACUGGUGUUCGGGUUGUCAUGCCAAUGGCACUGCCCGGUAGCUAAAUGCGGAAGAGAUAAGUGCUGAAAGCAUCUAAGCACGAAACUUGCCCCGAGAUGAGUUCUCCCUGACUCCUUGAGAGUCCUGAAGGAACGUUGAAGACGACGACGUUGAUAGGCCGGGUGUGUAAGCGCAGCGAUGCGUUGAGCUAACCGGUACUAAUGAACCGUGAGGCUUAACCU
This 2902-nucleotide ribosomal RNA is filed under the name Escherichia coli DEC13A. RNAcentral describes it as "bacterial LSU rRNA". It matches the Rfam family "Bacterial large subunit ribosomal RNA". The record is from RNAcentral. Lineage: Bacteria; Pseudomonadati; Pseudomonadota; Gammaproteobacteria; Enterobacterales; Enterobacteriaceae.